AAUGAACGCUGACAGAAUGCUUAACACAUGCAAGUCAACUUGAACUUCGGUUUGGGUGGCGGACGGGUGAGUAACGCGUAAAGAACUUGCCUCACAGAUAGGGACAACAUUUGGAAACGAAUGCUAAUACCUGAUAUUAUGAUUAUAUGGCAUCGUAUAAUUAUGAAAGCUAUAUGCGCUGUGAGAGAGCUUUGCGUCCCAUUAGCUAGUUGGAGAGGUAACGGCUCACCAAGGCGAUGAUGGGUAGCCGGCCUGAGAGGGUGAUCGGCCACAAGGGGACUGAGACACGGCCCUUACUCCUACGGGAGGCAGCAGUGGGGAAUAUGGGACAAUGGACCAAGAGUCUGAUCCAGCAAUUCUGUGUGCACGAUGAAGUUUUUCGGAAUGUAAAGUGCUUUCAGUUGGGAAGAAAAAAAUGACGGUACCAACAGAAGAAGUGACGGCUAAAUACGUG
This 454-nucleotide ribosomal RNA is filed under the name uncultured bacterium. RNAcentral describes it as "partial 16S ribosomal RNA". It matches the Rfam family "Bacterial small subunit ribosomal RNA", at positions 29 to 507 of the family's 1533-position model. The record is from RNAcentral.